GGCGGGGAGGCGCCUCCGCGCUGGGCUGCCUCCUCCGGCGGAGCGGAGCGGAGCAGAGCGCAGCGCCGCGGGCUAGCGCGCCCCGAGGGGAGCGGCGAGGCCGGGCGCUCGGCAGCCCGCCCGCCCCCCUCGUCGGCGCGGGUGGUGUCGCAGGGGCGGCGCUGCCGGUGCCCGGCUGGGGUCUCACCUGACCGGGUCCCGGGGGAAGCGGAAGAAGGCCAGGAAGACAUCGUUAAUCCACAACCCAGAUACUGAGACAAACUAAGAGCUGACUAUGAAUGUUUUAAGCAAUAAAGUAACUAAAGCAGGAAGUACAACUAGUAUGAAGACUUCAUCAGUUCUCUCAUAGGUAAAAACAAAACAGAGCUCAUUAAAAAAAAAAUGAAAUAGAAAAGUGAAUAGUUGGAAGAAGAAAAAUACUGAUUCAACAACUGUGACCUGCUGAUGGUUUGAGGUAAUAGAAGUAGGAACUGUGAAAUCUAUAAAUUCUGGUGGCAGACAAGAAUUGUUUCAGGUACUGUAGUGCUGUAAUGCUAUAGUGUAAUAAUUCAGCUUUUGAUAUAAGUAUCUAGUACCUAAUUCCUUAACGUCACAUAAAAAAGAAUCCUGACAAGGAGAUUUGCUGGGCAUUUGGAAGCAUAAUCUAAAUAUAUGAAAUAGGCAAAGUAUAAGUCUUUUCAAAAGUGCAUAAUGUAAAAGAAAACUCAUUUGAUUUGUUUGGGCUGCUUCUAAACUUUACAGCUUUUUUUCUUUGGAAGGAUAAUGGUUAUGUUUUGCCUUGGCAUCAAAUGCCCUUUGAACUAGGAAAGUUGAGCGUAUCUCACUGGAGUAAUUUCAACUACAGCAAUUUAUUUGGUGUUAAUUCUUUGUCAGAAUUCUAAUUUGGGCAUGUAGCUGUGUCUGUUCCUGUUUGUGGAUGCAGAAGAGCAUCUCCCUACCAGCCACGGGGCACCUUCCUGUCUGGUGAAGUCUUGUUACUGAUUUUCUUGUUGCUGUUCAAGAGCUAAUUCUUAGUGAUAUAGUGGACAAUACAUUUCCCAUGUGACUUGUAUACUUAAUUACUGUGUUGACUUACUUAGUAUUAGCUUUGCAAAUUAUUUUAAAUGCUAAAUUUAUAUCCUUCACUAUGCUCCAUUUGCUUUUUCCUAUUGUGAUGGCACAUAGCAGUCUAAAGCUGAGAGUUUACUUGGUUCUCUGAGCACAAAACAGUUAUCAGAUAGUACACAGCCCCUGUAUCGCUCAGGAGGAAUCAUCCAACAGGCAAUAAGGAACGCUAUCAAUGACAUUCAGGCAGUUGGAGAGUGUCAGUUAUGUAGGUGUAAGAUCCAAGAUCACUUUUUCUGUCACACCUUCCGAUCUACCAAGAAAAGAUAGACAUAAUUCAGAAGUAGGUCUGGAUCUUAUGAUGUAGAUUGAGUAGCCAGCCUAAGCCAAUGCCAAAAAUUGGUUUAGCUGCACCUGCUAACUGCCCCCACUUUCCUGGACAGUCACCACCAUUCGUAUAGAUAUGCAGUGAAUUGUGCAAGUCAGCUAAUCAGAUCAGAACUAACCAUUUUUUAAAUACAGUCAUUUGUUUUUAAUGAGUAAAUUAGUUUUAUUUCAGAUGACUUUGUCCUCUGGCUCACUAUGCAGAUUGCCUACAUAUUCAUGCUGACCCAAGGGAAUGCACAGAGGAAAGAGCAGGUUCACUUUCAAUUACAGUAAUAGUUUAUGAGCAUGGCCAGAUAGUGUUAAUAUGAAGCUCCCUAAUUUUUGAGCUGCUAGAUAGAAUUAGGAAAACACUUUUAAAACCUGUUUCAGCAUGAAGAUAUACUUUUUCACCCUCAGAUAAUGGAAAAAUUGUUUUGCCCAACAUCAAAGGGCUUGCUUUCCUGCUAAAUUGAUUCACCAAACAAGAAACACAUGCUGAUAAUCCUUCUUAGGGUUCUGAACAUGCCAAAGAAGAUGAUUAUAAUGACAGCAUUAUGAAGAAAUUAACCAUGGCAUCAUUUGAAUCACUGUACAUGCAUGUUAAGGCAGUUAUUUUCUAAAUACAUGUAUGCACAUGAGUUUUCCUACUGAAGCGAAUAGAAUAAUUUAUUUAACUCAUUCAGGCUUGCUCAACAGUGCUUUUGUUGACAGGCUAAUUUUUAAAGUGAUGCCUAUAUAAUGGAAAGAGAAUUCACUUAAUUAUUUUCAAAACCCAACAGUAUUAUUAGAAAUGCAUUCUUUUUAAAGAAAUUUAGUUUGUAUUACUACAUAGUAAGAACUUCCAAAAAUUAGCUUCUGAAGCUUGUAGAGUGUGCAGAAAUCACUCAAACUUUUUUUUUUUUUGCUGAGUAGCCUUUGAAAUGUGCAUAUAUAAUGUCUGAUGGUAAUUUUGUUUUUAAAUAAUCUUUCUGAUUCUUGAAGUGUUGUUCACAAUAUAUUUUUAAUGUAUCUAUCCAUACUGCUUUCAUAUUGUGUGGGGUUUAUGUAAUGUAUUGUGUUGUAUGGAUGAUCUGUAUCAACUGGAUAAAUUAUUUUUAAAGGAA
Molecule: long non-coding RNA, 2513 nt
Organism: Dromaius novaehollandiae (emu)
Lineage: Eukaryota; Metazoa; Chordata; Aves; Casuariiformes; Dromaiidae
Exons: 2
Source: RefSeq, a predicted model, not a curated record